Molecule: non-coding RNA, 21 nt
Filed under: Caenorhabditis elegans
Lineage: Eukaryota; Metazoa; Nematoda; Chromadorea; Rhabditida; Rhabditidae
Source: RNAcentral
UAACGUAGUUUUUGUCUUUUU